Molecule: ribosomal RNA, 559 nt
Filed under: uncultured fungus
Lineage: Eukaryota; Fungi
Description: SSU rRNA
Rfam family: Eukaryotic small subunit ribosomal RNA
Source: RNAcentral
GAUUGUAGUCAUAUGCUUGUCUCAAAGAUUAAGCCAUGCAUGUCUAAGUAUAAGCAAUCUAUACAGUGAAACUGCGAAUGGCUCAUUAAAUCAGUUAUCGUUUAUUUGAUAGUACCUUACUACUUGGAUAACCGUGGUAAUUCUAGAGCUAAUACGUGCUAAAAACCCCGACUUCGGAAGGGGUGUAUUUAUUAGAUAAAAAACCAAUGCUCUUCGGGGCUCCUUGGUGAUUCAUAAUAACUUAACGAAUCGCAUGGCCUUGUGCCGGCGAUGGUUCAUUCAAAUUUCUGCCCUAUCAACUUUCGAUGGUAGGAUAGUGGCCUACCAUGGUUUCAACGGGUAACGGGGAAUUAGGGUUCUAUUCCGGAGAGGGAGCCUGAGAAACGGCUACCACAUCCAAGGAAGGCAGCAGGCGCGCAAAUUACCCAAUCCCGACACGGGGAGGUAGUGACAAUAAAUACUGAUACAGGGCUCUUUUGAGUCUUGUAAUUGGAAUGAGUACAAUUUAAAUCCCUUAACGAGGAACAAUUGGAGGGCAAGUCUGGUGCCAGCAGCCAAU